CCUACGGGAGGCAGCAGUGGGGGAUAUUGCACAAUGGGCGGAACCCUGAUGCAGCGACGCCGCGUGGGUGAAGAAGCGCCUCGGCGCGUAAAGCCCUGUCAUCAGGGAAGAAUAUGACGGUACCUGAUGAAGAAGCCCCGGCUAACUACGUGCCAGCAGCCGCGGUAAUACGUAGGGGGCAAGCGUUAUCCGGAUUUACUGGGUGUAAAGAGUGCGAAGAGGGCGAAGCAAGCAAGAUGUGAAAGCCUGGGGCCAAACCCCGAGACUGUUCUGGAAACUGUGUAGCUGGAGUGCGGGAGGGGCAAGUGGAAUUUCUAGUGUAGCGGUGAAAUGCGUAGAUAUCAGGAGGAACACCGGUGGCGGAGGCGGGCUGCUGGGCUGCAACUGACGUUGAGGCCCGAAAGCGUAGGGAGCAAACGGGAUUAGAUACCCGUGUAGUC
RNAcentral lists this ribosomal RNA (440 nucleotides) under uncultured bacterium. RNAcentral's name for it is "partial 16S ribosomal RNA". It matches the Rfam family "Bacterial small subunit ribosomal RNA", at positions 338 to 795 of the family's 1533-position model. The record is from RNAcentral.